RNAcentral lists this ribosomal RNA (497 nucleotides) under uncultured bacterium. Its description in RNAcentral is "partial 16S ribosomal RNA". It matches the Rfam family "Bacterial small subunit ribosomal RNA", at positions 28 to 507 of the family's 1533-position model. The record is from RNAcentral.
GAUGAACGCUGGCGGCGUGCCUAAUACAUGCAAGUCGAGCGAACGGACGAGAAGCUUGCUUCUCUGAUGUUAGCGGCGGACGGGUGAGUAACACGUGGAUAACCUACCUAUAAGACUGGGAUAACUUCGGGAAACCGGAGCUAAUACCGGAUGAUAUUUUGAACCGCAUGGUUCAAAAGUGAAAGACGGUCUUGCUGUCACUAAUAGAUGGAUCCGCGCUGCAUUAGCUAGUUGGUAAGGUAACGGCUUACCAAGGCAACGAUGCAUAGCCGACCUCAGAGGGUGAUCGGCCACACUGGAACUGAGACACGGUCCAGACUCCUACGGGAGGCAGCAGUAGGGAAUCUUCCGCAAUGGGCGAAAGCCUGACGGAGCAACGCCGCGUGAGUGAUGAAGGUCUUCGGAUCGUAAAACUCUGUUAUUAGGGAAGAACAUAUGUGUAAGUAACUGUGCACAUCUUGACGGUACCUAAUCAGAAAGCCACGGCUAACUACGUG